UCUUUAUCUUUAUAUAACAGAUGUUGCAUGCGGUGAGCAUGUUAUUCUGUGGGUUGUUUUCAAAAUAUUACAACAAGCUCAAUCAAAGAUACAAUUUCUUGGAGUUGUUGGUCAAGCUGUAUGCACCGUAUGCAUUCUUUAAAGGACGCUUUGACGACACGAACUUUACAAAUCUGAGAAUGCAACUGAAGACAGAGAAUGGCGACGACGACAUAUUUAACUGUGAUCCCAAGAAUAUCAGUUGGCCCAAGUAUUUCUUACAUGUCCACGUACCAGCUGUUAUAAAUGAUGCCAACACAAACAAGAAACGAAGUGAGUAGACAAGAUGGGCCUCUGCGAAAAGGACCUCUACAUAAAGAGCAAUAAAUGGGUGCACGUUCCUUGAUAAACUAUUAUUGACAAGAAUAAUAUACCUUAUAUGUUCAUGGUGUGCAAUGUAAAAGUCAAUGUAUGUAUCUGUUAUGUAAUCUCUUAUACAUUACAAUAUAUUAUAUUACUAUACUAUACUAACUUGAACGGCGGACGUGCAUAGUAGACAUGAUGAAGACUUAAUAAAGUUAUUUGUAUAA
Molecule: long non-coding RNA, 569 nt
Organism: Triticum dicoccoides
Lineage: Eukaryota; Viridiplantae; Streptophyta; Magnoliopsida; Poales; Poaceae
Exons: 2
Source: RefSeq, a predicted model, not a curated record